CGCGGCCCGAGUGGUGGUCGAUAUUAUUGAGCCUAAAACGUUCGUAGCCGGUCUUGUAAAUCCUUGGGUAAAUCGGCCAGCUUAACUGUCCGAAGUCCGGGGAGACUGCAAGACUUGGGAUCGGGAGAGGUCAGAGGUACUUCUAGGGUAGGGGUAAAAUCCUGUAAUCCUAGAAGGACCACCGGUGGCGAAGGCGUCUGACUAGAACGAAUUCGACGGUGAGGAACGAAGCCCUGGGGCGCAAACG
This 247-nucleotide ribosomal RNA is filed under the name uncultured euryarchaeote. RNAcentral's name for it is "partial 16S ribosomal RNA". It matches the Rfam family "Archaeal small subunit ribosomal RNA", at positions 478 to 725 of the family's 1478-position model. Lineage: Archaea; Methanobacteriati; Methanobacteriota. The record is from RNAcentral.